Long non-coding RNA from Felis catus (domestic cat), 652 nucleotides. RefSeq lists it as uncharacterized. The record is from RefSeq and is a predicted model, not a curated record. NCBI's taxonomy places the organism in Eukaryota, Metazoa, Chordata, Mammalia, Carnivora, Felidae. The transcript is spliced from 3 exons.
CACUAGACUAUAAGCCCCUAGCAGGUAGGAUCAUAUGUUUUCUUCUUUGUACCCACAGUGGCUUACACAGUUCCUUUCACGGAACUGCUACUAUUUGUUUUAGUCUCUUUGUAGGCUUGAUAAGGGAGAGACAGGGCAGAGCCAGCUCCCUGGCUGUGUAAGGAGAGAUGGUGUAAAUGUGGAUGGGUUUGGACUGGCUAAGUUAAGCUACCCAACAUUCCCAUAAAGGGAAGAUUGCUAAGGCAAAGGCAUCAGGAGACUGAAGGGACAAGCCUAUGUUCUGUAUAUAUAUUAACUCCUUUAAGACUUAAAACAACCAGAAGAGGAAGUAUCUUCUUUUUAACGAAGAGAAAAUGAAGCACAGAGAGGUCGUCAACUUGUUUAAGGUCACAUAGAAAAUAUGGUCAGAUGUCCAGUGAUCUGGAAUGCACAACCCCUUGGAGGUGAUAAUGCUGCUGGGAGAUGGAAAUAUCUGCAUUCAAAGAAUUCAGUAAAAACUAACCUUGUAAAGGAAAAGUUGCAAGGAGGUGUAAGCAAGCAGUAUCUAUGGACAAUAUUGAAAGUGAGGUUUGCAAAGCUCAGAAGAGGGGAGGAUCCCUGAAGGAUGUAAGAGGAUUCUUAAACAAUGGAUAACAGGUAUAUUUGAGGCAAA